Molecule: long non-coding RNA, 1505 nt
Organism: Hibiscus syriacus
Lineage: Eukaryota; Viridiplantae; Streptophyta; Magnoliopsida; Malvales; Malvaceae
Exons: 3
Source: RefSeq, a predicted model, not a curated record
UUUCAAAUUAAAGACAAGGGGCAAAAUGAAAAUCUUGUUCCUUUUACCUCCGAUUACGUGAGAUUGAACCGUUGGAUCGAACCGUGGUGGGAGUAUGUUGAUCAUCGCGUUGCUUCUUACCUGUUGACCGUUCGGAUUGAUGAACGGAGCCUCUGGCCACCAAGAGUCAUCGUUGUCGAAAGAAUUUGAUUUAGAAAAGGAGAAAUGUGUGCUUGAUGAACAAGGACUCAGAAUAGCUGAAAAUCAGGAAAACAGCCAGAAAAAUAGGCGGUAGCUUGCUGAACGUACAAGAGAUUUCAAGAAAGCUUCACCUGAGGAAAAAAUAAGUUUAUUUAAUUCAUUACUUAAGGGUUACCAAGAAGAAGUUGAUAAUCUUACCAAGAGAGCAAAUUUGGUGAGAAUGCUUUUCUAAACAUCUACCAAAAGCUUUAUGAGGCUCCUGAUCCUUAUCCUGCUCUUGCUUUGAUUUCUGUAAGUAUUAGCUCUGAUAUAUUGUACCUCUGAGAAGGAGAUCCCUCUAAAAUUUGCAUUCUAUCAGUUGCAUGCCUGCCUAAAUUUUGUUUUAAAUUUAUUGGGUUUCUUUAAUGUCGACCAAUGGGCAAUGAUUUCUUUUUGUGAGAUGGUAGUAACACUAAGGACCAAACAAUAAUUAUAUAUUUUUUUUGGAUUCAAAUAAAGCAAUCUUGGGGGUAGUAUUUUGGUGACAUUAAUUAUGCAAGUAUAUGCAAAUGGUCUAACAAAACAUCAGUUUUUUGAACCUGGUAUGGUACCAAAGAAAGACGAUACAUCCACUGGCAUGGUACUGUGUAAUAGCUCUUAAUGAACCUGUUCUUUGAAUUCUGUUAUUAUUUUAGGCGAUGUAUAAAUUUUCUACUACAUGAAGGGAGCAAUCGUUGCAAGAUCAAUUACGGCAAGCUAAAGAAAGUGUAUCAAAUAUGCAAAAACUGCACGAACUUGCACAAAGCCAGUUGUUUGAACUUUGUGCUCAAUCUGGUGAUAGGCUGACCUGGUUGUUCUGUUUUACAAUUCUGUUGUUUGACUCAAUUAAUUUUCGAAGAAAUUUCAUUCACUUUUUUUGGUUACGUUUUCCCUUAUUGCUAUCUGCCUUUCUUCUGUCUUACACUAUCUUUAACAAUACAGAGGAAGAUCGGGCAGCAAAGCAGUCUGAAAUCAACCUUUUGAUGGAUGAAAUAGAGCGAGCCCAAACACGGCUUUUUAGUCUAGAGAGAGAGAAGGUAAAGUGAAAACAUGAUAAAUUAGCUUAUUUUGAUGCAAUAAACGUGUCAUAGUUUAAGAUCUUGAUUUGCCAAUAUGACAACACAGAGUAGUGGGGAGUGUCGUUGCAUAGGCCUAUCAACACUGACCUAGUUGUUAAUAAAGGGUCACAACUGCCUUUGUCCAACUUGGAGCUAUGUGGCUUCCAAUCACUGUAAUUAUGACUUAACUAAAUGAUUCAAUUUGUGUUGUGCUACUUAUAAAUGUCUAGUAGAUCAUGCUUGCAAUUA